This 28-nucleotide non-coding RNA is filed under the name Rattus norvegicus (Norway rat). Lineage: Eukaryota; Metazoa; Chordata; Mammalia; Rodentia; Muridae. The record is from RNAcentral.
UGAGAGUUUUGUGUAUCUGGAUGCUACU